GCAUAACGCGAAGAACCUUACCCUAGGCUUGACAUGCACUGUGUCUACGGUGAAAGCCGUAUAGUGUAGCAAUACACGCUUUGCACAGGUGCUGCAUGGCUGUCGUCAGCUCGUGUCGUGAGAUGUUGGGUUAAGUCCCCGCAACGAGCGCAACCCUUGUGAACAGUUGCCAGCACUUAAGGUGGGAACUCUGUUCAGACUGGCCCAGAUCAAACUGGGAGGAAGGUGGGACGACGUCAGGUCAGUAUGGCCCUUACGCCUAGGGCUGCACACGUACUACAAUGCCCAGCACAAUGAGAAACCGAGACCGCGAGGUAGGAGGAAAUCUAAAAAACUGGGCCCAGUUCGGAUUGGAGGCUGCAACUCGCCUCCAUGAAGUUGGAAUCGCUAGUAAUGGCGCAUCAGCUACGGCGCCG
This 416-nucleotide ribosomal RNA is filed under the name uncultured bacterium. RNAcentral's name for it is "bacterial SSU rRNA". It matches the Rfam family "Bacterial small subunit ribosomal RNA", at positions 954 to 1362 of the family's 1533-position model. The record is from RNAcentral.